RNAcentral lists this ribosomal RNA (114 nucleotides) under Aeromonas salmonicida. RNAcentral describes it as "partial 16S ribosomal RNA". It matches the Rfam family "Bacterial small subunit ribosomal RNA", at positions 1420 to 1533 of the family's 1533-position model. The record is from RNAcentral. Lineage: Bacteria; Pseudomonadati; Pseudomonadota; Gammaproteobacteria; Aeromonadales; Aeromonadaceae. RNAcentral also lists the same sequence under 6 other names.
CCAGAAGUAGAUAGCUUAACCUUCGGGAGGGCGUUUACCACGGUGUGAUUCAUGACUGGGGUGAAGUCGUAACAAGGUAACCCUAGGGGAACCUGGGGUUGGAUCACCUCCUUA